CAGGACAAGAUUUGAGGAACCCUGACCUACACUAAACCAUAUACUAAAUAUAACCUAGUGUUAACAAAACAAUUUGUGACAUAAAAACAUUUUCAGUGGCAAAAAUGCUUUAUUUAGCUUCCUUCUACAAGUCUUUGACCUAUUUUAUUGUGACUCGUGUUUCAUAGAUGAGUGAUCUGCAUCUCAAGUGCACUGCUACACCAGUGGUGUAGCGCCAAGGCAUGCAGGGAAUGCAGGGCAUGCAGGUGCAUAUGGCCCCAGGCAGUCUCGGGGCCUAAUGAGCUGGGGGGAACUUUUAAUUGAAAUGAGGGAACAAAUAGAGCCCUUCAUCGGCCGGGCCCUUGUCCAACAACUUAUGUGAAUUCUCGGCCCAAGUCCGACUGGAUACCUUGACUUCUUUUCUCUCUCUUCCCCAUUACACAGUUAUUAAAAUAAUGAAGUCUGGGUUUUUAAUGAUAAA
Molecule: long non-coding RNA, 460 nt
Organism: Carassius gibelio (silver crucian carp)
Lineage: Eukaryota; Metazoa; Chordata; Actinopteri; Cypriniformes; Cyprinidae
Exons: 2
Source: RefSeq, a predicted model, not a curated record